UGCUGGGGAGGGAGUUCCAGGACUUUGUCCCAAUGAUAGUGAAGGAACAGAUAUAUUUCCAAUUCAGGUUGGUGCGUGUCUUAGAGGGGAACCUGCAGGUGGUGGUGUUCCAAAGUGCCCGCUGCCCUUGUCCUCUUGGUGGUAGGGGUUACAGGUUUGGGAGGUGCUGUUAGAGUUGACUGCACAAGUUAUUGCGGUGCAUUUUGUUGACGGUACACACUGAAAUCUCUGUGCAUGGGUGGUGGAGGGAACAAAUAGGCACUGUAGGUGAUGCAUAUCAAAGUGGCUGCUUUGUCCUAGGUAUUGUUGAGUCUGAAUGUUGUGCCAUUUAACUCUUACAGGCAGUAUUCUGUCAUAUUGCUGAUAUGCAUUGAGAUGAUGGAAGUGCUUUAGUGUGUGAAUGAUCACUGCAGUAUACCCUUUAUAGAUCUGACCUGACCUGCUCAUCUCAGGUCAUCACCUGAUCAUCUCAGAUCUAGGUGAUUUCAUGAUCAGUGACGACACUCCACACCGCUCCCAUCCCCAGGGUGUUGAUGGCUGAGACAUGGAAUAUGAAGGGUAUGUAGUUUGGUGACCCUUUCUUGUUGGAGUUGGUUAUUACUUGACACUUCUGCAGCAGAAAUGUUACUUCCAUUUCUUAGCUCUUGCCUGGAUGUUGUUCAGGCUUUGCUACCUGCAGACACGGACCUGCUUCAGAUUCUGGGUAGAUGAGAAUGGAAUUGGCAUUGUGCAAUCAUGAGUGAGUGUCUCUCUGGCCUUCAAAUGGAAGGAAGGGCAUUGAUGAAGUAGCUGAACAUCGUUGGGUCUAGCAUGCCUCAUACAAAGGAAGAUGGUCGUGAUUGUUGCAGGUCAAUCAUUCCAGUCCUAGGACAUCACUGCAGGAGAUCCCCAGGGCAGGUAUAAAUCCAGCCACAGGAAUGUUUUAUCAUUAAUGCUCAUUGACUUAAAUUUUACUCGGGCCCCUUGAUGUCACACACAGGCAAAUGCUGCCUUGAUGUCCGUAAGACUAUAAGACAUAGGAGCAGAAUUACACCACUUGGCCCAUUAAGUCUGCUCUGCCAUUCUAUCAUGGCUGAUUUAUUGUCCCUCUCAACCCCAUUCUCCUGCCUUCUCCCCAUAACCUUUGACUCUCUGACUAAUCAAAAAACUAUCAACCUUCACUUUAAAUGUACUCAAUGACUUGGCCUCCACAGCCAUCCAUGUCAAUGAAUUCCACUUUCAGGUGAAAUAAAUCCCUCUUCAUCUCUGUUCCAAAUGAAUGUUGCUGUAUUCUGAGGCGGUGCCCUCUGGUCCUAACUGCCCCACUAUAGGAAACAUUCUCUCCACAUCGACUCUAUAUAGGCCUUUCAAUAUACGAUAGGUUUCAAUGAGAUUCCCCCCUCAUUCUUCAAAACUCCAGCAACUACAAGCCCAGAGCCAUCUAGCAUUCCUCAUCUGUUAACCUUUUAAUUCCUGUAAAUACAACGUUGGAAAGUGUAUGGUCAUGCACUUUGGUGGAAGAAAUAAACGGGCAAACUAUUUUUUAGAUGGGGAAAGAAUUCAAAAGGCAGAGAUACAAAGGAACUUGGGAGUCCUUGUGCAGGAUACCCUAAAGGUUAACCUCCAGGUUCAGUCUGUGGUGAAGAAAGUGAAUGUUGGCAUUCAUUUCUAGAGGUAUAGAAUAUAAGAGCAGGGAUAUGAUGUUGAGGCUCUAUAAGGCACUCGUGAGACCACAUGGAUUAUUGUGUGCAGUUUUGGGCCCCUUAUUUUAUAAAGGAUAUACUAACAUUGGAGAGGGUUCAGAGAAGAUUCACAAGAAUGAUUCCAGGAAUGCAUCCCUGGAGUUCAGGAGAAUGAGGGGGGAUCUCAUAGAAAUAUUCCAAAUGUUAAAAGGCCUAAACAGAUUAGAUAUGGCAAAGUUAUUUCCCAUGGUAGAGGAGUCUAGGAAAAGAGGGCACAACUUCAGGAUUGAAGGACGUCCACUUAGAACAGAGAUACGGAGAAAUUACUUUAGGCAGAGUGUGAUAAAUCUGUGGAAUUUGUUGCCACGAAUGGCUGUGGAGGCCAAGUCAUUGAGUGCAUUUUAGGCAGAGAUUGAUAGGUUCUUAAUUUUUCGGAGAAGGACUUCUGAGAAUUGGAGCAAGAGUGAGGCGGAAGCCAUUUUGAAUUUUACCGGUUUUCAUCGGAGUUGAGAGAGGCGGGACUGCGCAGGCGUGUGACGUCGGGCAGUGAAGUGCGGGAGACUUAAAAGGAACGCAGCCCGAUAUAGCGGGCAGUGUCGUUGCGGGCAGUGGAGUGAGCCGAGAGUAGAAUGGAGACCUAAGGGCUUUGGCUCAACGGGCUUCGUCGGAACUGGGUGAGGCGAGGAAGACCGGAGCUGCAGAGCUCUCACAGCUAGUUGCUUGUCUUUGGAACCUUCGUUUGUCAUCGCCACAAUCAGAACCAACAGAGAUGGUGGAAGAGGGCGAGCAACAAGAGGAAAUUUUGGAUGGAGCAAAUAAUGAUAAUUUCCACCAACACCCCAUAACAUCAUCUUGGGUACUGACACUGAGGAACGAACAAGGUGCUGAGUCCUGCACUCCUUUUCACACACCAGGGUCCUGGUUACCAUACUUCCUUGAAAUUCAACUGGUUGAACACACACAAAAUGCUGGAGGAACUCAGCAGGUCAUAUAGCAGCUAUGGAAGGGAAUGGACAGCUGAUGUUUCAAGCCAACACUCUUCAUCAGGACAAGAAAGGAAGAGCAGAGAUGCCAGAAUAAAGCACGUCGGGGAAGGACAGAAGUAUAAGAUGGCAGUUAAUAGCAGAAUCCAGGUGAGAGGGCAAAGGUAGAGACAAAGGGCUGAAGAAGAAGGAAUCUGGUAGGACGGACGGGACAGUAGGCCAGGACAGUAGACAGUCGAAUAAAGGGAAAGAGGUAGUUUACCAGAGGGAGGUGAUGACUGGUUGUGAGGCAGGGGAAGAAAAGGGGUGAUGGGGCUAAGGGAAUGAGGGAAAACAAGGGAGUGGGGGAAGGAAAAGAGAAAAGGGAGUGGUUACCAACAGUUAGAGAAAUCACUGUUGCUGCUGUCAGUUUGGAGACUACCAAGGUGGAAUGUGAGGCAUUGUUCCUCCAACCUAGGUCUGGCCUCAACGUGACAGUAGCUGUGUCAGUGUUGACCUGCCCAUCACCUACUUCUUGUUCCCCAUCUCCUUCCCUUUCUCCCAUGGUCCACUGUCGUCUCCUACCAGAUUCCUUCUUCAGCCCUUUGUCUCUUCCACCUAUCACCCCCUAGCUUCUCACAUCAUUCCCUAUCAUUCCUCACCCAACUACCUUCUUCCUCUCACCCAGAUUCAGUUAUCACCUGCCAGCUAGAGCUCCUCACCUCUCCAUAUCUUUUUAUUCUGGCUUCUGCUCUCUUCCUUUACAGUCCCGAUAAGAGUCACGGCCCAAAAUGUCGCCUGUUCAUUUCCCUUCAAAGACGCUAUUUGACCUGCUGAGUUCCUCCACCAUUUUGUGCAUGUCGCACAAGAUUUCCAACAUCUGCAGAAUAUUGUGGCUGACCUGGUUCAGCUUCCUUGAAAUUUUCCAGGGCCUUGUUUCCUUUGCUGUCUUUAAACUUACAGAAUAUACUGAAAAAUUAUCCUACCAUGGAAUAUCAAGGAAUAACAUCCAAUAUCUGCCUAGUCCAACAUCACUAGGUCACAGGCAUGCUAGAUUUUACUGUAUUGAACAGAUUGUCAGGCAUUAGUCAGCCUAUGAAUAUCUUCCACGAGUUCUAUUCAUAUUCAGUCCUAUCUAUGGCUGAAUGUGCAAAAGUGAGUGCAAAUGAUGGUUAGUGUAUUUUGGCAUUGGAGAUGAAUUUCUUCUCCACAAUAACUAUUUUAAUCCUCUUCUUUCUGUAAUUAUAUGUUAGUCUACAGGCAAAAGACUGAGUGCAGUCCUCAGGCAAAGGUGGGAUUGAGUGGUGGUGGUUAAUUCAGGCAGUAUGCUGAAAUAAUUUAACUAAUGCAGGGGUAAAUUUCAGAGGGAAAAAUUAUUUUAAAACAAUGACAAACAACACUUCAUAGGAACAAAACAGUUAAUGUUUUGUUUAAAGGUAAACUUUUGUUUGGUGAGUUAUCACUCUCAGGAAAGAAGUGAUCUACCCCUGGUUGCUAUAUUAAACAGGUUUUGGGAAAUAGUCGUGCACAGGAUUGUAAUGUGACCUGUUAAUGAUAUCAGUCAUCUGUGACAAGCA
Molecule: long non-coding RNA, 4200 nt
Organism: Hypanus sabinus (Atlantic stingray)
Lineage: Eukaryota; Metazoa; Chordata; Chondrichthyes; Myliobatiformes; Dasyatidae
Exons: 3
Source: RefSeq, a predicted model, not a curated record